UGUAUUUUAUUAUUUUAAGUGGGGACGGGUACAUAUUUCCCGAUUUUGAUAACAAUUGAUAACAGCGAACUUGAUGAGAAAAAAAAAUAAUGCUUACGCCAACCUAUUAAAGUUAGAAAAAAUCUCAAUUCCCGUGGCGUUCACCAGCGAAUAAAUCAAAAAUAAAAAAUCUGUUUCAUAGCGAGAAAUUUUACCUUUUAUAAAAUAAAACCCUGUUUAGUUAGCUUUUAAUCGGCGAAGUUAGGUUUUUAUCAUUUAAUUAUCAUAAAUCAUAAUAUAAUAUUUAUAUUUUAAAUUUAAAUUUUAAUACUUUUAACUUUAUACUUUAUACCAAUACUUUAAUCUCUAUUCUAUGCAUUAUACUUAAUUAUUUAAAUUUUUGGAGUUAAGUGCUGCUUUAAUAUUAGUGAAAGUAUACUUACUGUGCUAUAAGAAAUAAAUGUAAUAUAUAAUAAUAUGUUAAAUGUGCCAAACAAACCUAACCAUAUUUAUUGGAAAGUCUGGAUUGCAGUACAAUAUCGACAGUAUUAUUUCAACAAGAUAUUUUUCUUUACAUUAUUAAAAUGAUUUAAAUGGCAAUGAAUGUUUUUAAUUUUGGUUUUUUUUUUGCACUAAAAAAUAAAAUAAGUACUUUAAAUUUAUUUUAAUUCUUAACCUUUCAAAUUAUUCAUAGUUUUUUAGUUAUUUAAGGUUUAAUUUUGUUGUGUGACAAUUUCUUGUUUUUAAAAUGUAUUAACUGUAUCAAUCUAUUCAGUAUUUAUAAUUUAUUGGUAUAUUUAGAAAAAAUGAAUUAAAGUUUAAUUAA
Metopolophium dirhodum (rose-grain aphid) is the source of this 805-nucleotide long non-coding RNA. RefSeq lists it as uncharacterized. The transcript is spliced from 2 exons. The record is from RefSeq and is a predicted model, not a curated record. Lineage: Eukaryota; Metazoa; Arthropoda; Insecta; Hemiptera; Aphididae.